AACAAAACUCUCUUGAUCCCCUCUCCCUUCUCCUCUCUGCAUCGUCGUCGACCGCCACAGCCCAGCGACAGUCGCCAGCCGCCCGAGCGCCACCCGAUCUCCCCUCUCCAGGUCGCGGACGCCAGGUGCUCGUCGGAAGCCAAGCAUCCGAGUCCUCCUUUGGGUCGUGCCCUAGUUUGGAUCCACCGCCCUGUCGCCAUCGCUGGGCGUCGCCCUCUUCCAAUGUCUAAUGUCGUCGCCCUAGGAGAGGGAGAGAGGGAGGACAAUGAGUUUUUCCGUCACAUUUCUGUCUUGUGCCCUAGCAUCCUCUCAUCCAUCAUUCCUCACGAUCACCAUCCUACUCAGAGCUCGACUUGGUGGCAUCGCUAUAAUCCAAUGUAUUGGAGCACCCGAUCGGUCUGAGACUGGAGGAGGGACCCGAUCACUUCGUCGGAUUUCACAUUGUCCUCUUCAUCAAAUCACGUUAAUCUACAGUAGGGAGUUAGAUCUAAAGCUCUUUCACUCAUCCGUCUGUUUCCCGUAGUCAUGCUAGCCAAAUCCUAAUUCUCCAGCCGACUAGGAGGGAGUUCUUCUUGCGAUCCGAGCUCAAUGGUCUAUAUCCUCGCAGCUGCACCUGAAUUUCCUCCACUAAGCAGCAAUAGAUCACAUUAAGGACAUUGAUUUGAGACGAGCGUCUUGACGUGGGAUUGUUUAACAUGAUCAACAGAUAAAGGCAGAGAUGUGAACUUGGUUUUUCAUCUUGAUAGUAGCCAAACCAGCUACUUGUGUUCUCGACAGCCUGUGUGGAACAAUAUCCUGGAAGAUUGUAACUUGAAAAGGAGGGACCUAUGGAAUUAACAAUCAAGGAAGGAACACACUGCUGCAAAAUGGGUAAGAGUCUCUUUAAAUCAAAUCCCCAAUGCAGGAUACUUCAACACUGUAGCAUAUGUCGUGAGUGAUGUUUCAGGCAACCUUCCUUCCGAAGUGCAAUUCAACUUCUGGGUUCACCGUCCAGAAGUCUGGGAUGACACUGAAGAAAAAAGCCCGCCAAUCUGGUCAAUUUAUGUGCUUUGACGAUGUUUAUCUCUUUAGAAAAGAUGCCUGUGCAUUUCAAAACAGUACAAAUUUACAACAAAUCCGUCAACCUAACUGUAGCUGCUGUACAAAUAAUGCACACGAACAAGAAGAUGAAUGGAUUUUUUUUU
Molecule: long non-coding RNA, 1184 nt
Organism: Zingiber officinale
Lineage: Eukaryota; Viridiplantae; Streptophyta; Magnoliopsida; Zingiberales; Zingiberaceae
Exons: 4
Source: RefSeq, a predicted model, not a curated record